UUUCUGGAGGAGUUAGGGGAAGGAGGCUGCCUGGUAAGCCAGGAAAGGGGCUUCUGGCCGUUCUGUUGGAGCGCCUCUGACUGACUUCCCCCAUGUGUCCGUGUGGCCACACCGUGCUACUUUCAGAGGCAGUGGGCUUUUCGCUAAGGGAUAAAAAGAAGUAAAACCUUGCCUUUAGCGCAGCUCUCCUUCACUGGGCAGAUUGCUCUCCCUCCCCACUCUCCCAGGCCCAAAUUGGAUCUCAGCGCCUGGGAGCUCCAACUUUAGCAAGUGCGAAAUCCUGUCUUCGGUUUUGGAAUUUUCAUCCGCACAGACUAUAUCAGCCACGGAUAGGAUAUGUGAGAAUACCAGCAUGUCAAGGCUGGGAAUCAUCCUUAGGCAUCACCUAGCCAGUCCUGCCUCUCAUUUUAAGGUGAUCACAGGAUCUGGUUUGCCACUGAAAGGAAUCUUGAUGCUGACCACUUCACCUCGGAGAGCAUGAACUGCUCCCAUGCCUUCAAGAGUUUUAGUGGGUAACCAGGAUGGAACUGCGGUGUUGCUUGCAGGAGAAGCUUACUACUGGUUUCUACUUCUCCAACCUCAUUGGUGGCUAUGCAGAGAAUAGACGCCUUGAUGGCUCCUCUGGCAGUUCUUGAUGACCAUGGAUGAGCUAAUGGCUGUGGUCUCAAUGGUGGCUUCUUGAGCUAAUUUCAAAUGGUCCAGUGCCUGAGACUUCACACUGAAGUAGAGCAUUUGUUCCUCUCACUAUGUCUGCAGGCUCAAGAGUUUUGAUGAAAGAAGGAGGUUCUACAAAAGCAUGAAAGCAUUGUGUGGACCUUCUUAUUGAUAGCGGACUGCACAGGCUCUAAUUCUUUAAUGAAAUGUGGCUUAUCAAUGAUGAUCAACUCUGCUUGGCAGAUGUCUGCUCCAAACUUGUUGGAAGCCUUACAAGAAUAAACUCCUCUAUCUUGAAUGGUGGAGUCUCGCUAUGUUGCCCAGGCUGGAGAGCAGUGGUGCAAUCCUGGCUUACUGCAACCUCUGCCUCCUGGCUUCAAGCAAUUCUCCUGCCUCAGCCUCCCAAGUAGCUGGGACUACAGGCUCUGCAGUACCUACCUACCAUGUUACUGUCUUGGUUGUUGGUCUCUCCAGUUGGUAAUACAAGCAUUUCCCACACAUGUACAGAAAGCAAAAAGGACAACAAUAUGAAAUGAAGUGACAACAUCUGUGCCAAUGUAUGGCAUUUACCUGUCACAGUUAGUGUGGCUGUACAGCUGACACUGCCAUACUCAUUGGAAGCUUUGCAUGUAUACUCGCCGCAGUCAACCACCUGGGUUCUCAGGAUUUCAAGGCUGGAGAUAUACUUUGAAGAUCGAAUAGAACACUUGUCACUCUCAUAAAUUUCUCGGCCAGCUUUAAACCACUGGAACCGGACAUUGGGAGCACUUUGGAUCUCACAGCAUAUAAGCAUUAGAAGACAGGACUCAAGUGUCUGCUGGCUGUAAAAAUACUGGAGAAACUCAUCUAUAGCAUGCAGAAUACAUAUUCAGUCAUUGUGUACAAUGCAGCUGUAUAGUCCUUGGUCUACCAGCUGAACAUUACAUAUGACUCAGGUUGGCUGUGCUUGAUACUUGGCCUACAGCAUUACUAGCAACAAACGUCUUCUUCCUUUGGUGAACUGAAUGAGGCACCAGGAUACACAUGAACUGCCACUGGACAUGAACUGCACACAAUAAGUGAGUUAACAGAAACCCGGCAUUGAAAACGGGCUGGCUGCCCUUCAGAAGUGACAGUGUCCUGAAGCGGGGUGAUGAUGGCAGGUGGAUAAACAGGCAUUUCCUGAUCAGGAGACACAACUUCUGGAACUAAAGAAAGAAACCACAAGAUUUGUCAUGAUUAAGUCACCAUAGAGACCUCACAGAAGGGAGCAUGACAUCAAUUCCAGAGUGGGACAGCUCAACCUCAAACACCACAUUUUGAGUUUCUGUACAGGUUGUCUUUUUCCCGUCGAUGACAAAGCUGUAUUCUCCCUGGUCCUCCUUGGUUACAUCCUUGACCGUGAGGUUCUGACGUCCACGACGAGAUGUAAUUGUAUAUUUGCCAUUGGAUUUAAGCUCCACAUCAUUAUGAUACCAUUUUCCUUCUAUAUUUUCUGGGGAUACAAUGCACUCUAAUUCUCCUGAAUAUGAUUCUGGAACUUCUAUGUCCUGAAGUUCUUUCACAAACUCAACAACUGCACCUGAAGUGUAUAACAGAAAGAUAAAUCAAUUUUUUUGGAGAGGGGCAAGAAAUAAAAACUUCUGGCAAUUGUUGGUGUUGCCAAUGGUGCAACAUACCAUGAAGAUUAAGGAAACUUAGCAACAGUGAACUUGGACCUUCUAAUAGCUGUCUAACCCCGAGC
This is a long non-coding RNA of Homo sapiens (human), 2377 nucleotides long. Ensembl annotates it as TTN antisense RNA 1. Its record names the gene TTN-AS1. Lineage: Eukaryota; Metazoa; Chordata; Mammalia; Primates; Hominidae. The record is from Ensembl.